CGAGCGAUCGAUGGGAGCUUGCUCCCUGAGAUUAGCGGCGGACGGGUGAGUAACACGUGGGCAACCUGCCUAUAAGACUGGGAUAACUUCGGGAAACCGGAGCUAAUACCGGAUACGUUCUUUUCUCGCAUGAGAGAAGAUGGAAAGACGGUUUACGCUGUCACUUAUAGAUGGGCCCGCGGCGCAUUAGCUAGUUGGUGAGGUAAUGGCUCACCAAGGCGACGAUGCGUAGCCGACCUGAGAGGGUGAUCGGCCACACUGGGACUGAGACACGGCCCAGACUCCUACGGGAGGCAGCAGUAGGGAAUCUUCCGCAAUGGACGAAAGUCUGACGGAGCAACGCCGCGUGAACGAAGAAGGCCUUCGGGUCGUAAAGUUCUGUUGUUAGGGAAGAACAAGUACCAGAGUAACUGCUGGUACCUUGACGGUACCUAACCAGAAAGCCACGGCUAACUACGUGCCAGCAGCCGCGGUAAUACGUAGGUGGCAAGCGUUGUCCGGAAUUAUUGGGCGUAAAGCGCGCGCAGGUGGUUCCUUAAGUCUGAUGUGAAAGCCCACGGCUCAACCGUGGAGGGUCAUUGGAAACUGGGGAACUUGAGUGCAGAAGAGGAAAGUGGAAUUCCAAGUGUAGCGGUGAAAUGCGUAGAGA
RNAcentral lists this ribosomal RNA (649 nucleotides) under Bacillus sp. FJAT-4552. Its description in RNAcentral is "bacterial SSU rRNA". It matches the Rfam family "Bacterial small subunit ribosomal RNA", at positions 63 to 696 of the family's 1533-position model. The record is from RNAcentral. Lineage: Bacteria; Bacillati; Bacillota; Bacilli; Caryophanales; Bacillaceae.